This 253-nucleotide ribosomal RNA is filed under the name uncultured bacterium. RNAcentral describes it as "partial 16S ribosomal RNA". It matches the Rfam family "Bacterial small subunit ribosomal RNA", at positions 524 to 776 of the family's 1533-position model. The record is from RNAcentral.
UACGUAGGUGGCUAGCGUUGUCCGGAUUUACUGGGCGUAAAGAGCGCGCAGGCGGUCGUUCAAGUCGAGUGUGAAAGCCCCCGGCUCAACUGGGGAGGGUCAUUCGAUACUGUUCGACUCGAAGGCAGGAGAGGGAAGUGGAAUUCCCGGUGUAGUGGUGAAAUGCGUAGAUAUCGGGAGGAACACCAGUGGCGAAGGCGACUUCCUGGCCUGUUCUUGACGCUGAGGAGCGAAGGCGUGGGUAGCAAACAGG